UACGGAGGGAGCUAGCGUUGUUCGGAAUUACUGGGCGUAAAGCGCGCGUAGGCGGCUUUGUAAGUCAGAGGUGAAAUCCCGGGGCUCAACCCCGGAACUGCCUUUGAAACUACAUCGCUAGAGUCUUGGAGAGGUGAGUGGAAUUCCGAGUGUAGAGGUGAAAUUCGUAGAUAUUCGGAAGAACACCAGUGGCGAAGGCGACUCACUGGACAAGUACUGACGCUGAGGUGCGAAAGCGUGGGGAGCAAACAGG
RNAcentral lists this ribosomal RNA (253 nucleotides) under uncultured bacterium. RNAcentral's name for it is "partial 16S ribosomal RNA". It matches the Rfam family "Bacterial small subunit ribosomal RNA", at positions 524 to 776 of the family's 1533-position model. The record is from RNAcentral.